RNAcentral lists this long non-coding RNA (314 nucleotides) under Physcomitrium patens. Its description in RNAcentral is "long non-coding RNA (PPAT_LNC003191)". Lineage: Eukaryota; Viridiplantae; Streptophyta; Bryopsida; Funariales; Funariaceae. The record is from RNAcentral.
GGAGGACGUUGGCGCGAGGCGGUGUUCUCGGCGACAUGUCGACCACGAGAACAGGCAAGGAGCUCGUCGCGCGGUGGAGGUGCUCUGCACUACAUGCUGGUGAGGGCAGCAGGCCCGCCUCGACGCGCUGCCAUGGUCGUCGCUUGUUGCACGCCGCGUCCUCUGCUGUUUCGUGGUCGGUCUCUUCUGAUCCCUCGAUGCUUGUGUGGGACAGGAGCGAGGUCUGGAGCUGAGACACUUUCCUUGACCGUGGAGCCUUCUUGUGAGUGGACGAGUCUUCGGAGUCGGAAAGCACGCGCGAGCUCGGACUGAAC